Molecule: long non-coding RNA, 870 nt
Organism: Folsomia candida
Lineage: Eukaryota; Metazoa; Arthropoda; Collembola; Entomobryomorpha; Isotomidae
Exons: 5
Source: RefSeq, a predicted model, not a curated record
GAGUAAAAGAUACUACGACGAAUAAUUUAUAAAACAGUUACAAUUUUUUUAUAAACCAGCCAACUGCACCUGAAAUAACUAGUUACCCUUCCGAUUUACAAGUGUACAGUGAUUCUAAAGUACGACCAUUUAGUAUAGAGACGAAUGAAUUGGAAUUAUGGCCCUCAUGUUCAUCAGACAAUUCUAUUGAAGUUUUUGAAAACGUUAACGUUCCCAACGGUGAACUUAGUAAGUUUAAACAUAGCAAUUCGCAUGAGAAGGACUAUUUAUUUGAAAUAACGAAGUGGGCAGUGAGUAAUAAUAUCACUAGAAAUUCUACUUCAGAAUCAUUGCUAAUUUUAAAAACUCACAUGUGUUUUGAUUAUUUUCCGAAGGAUGUAAGGACAUUCUUGGAAACGCCAAAGUUACAAAUAGUUUUCCCGUUGGAAAAGGAGAAUUUUUAUAUUUUGGACCCUGGCCACCAUAGAUAGUUUGGAACAAAUCUUGAAAGAUCUUGCUCCCAGGCGAGAAUUGAAUAAUGUGCUUUUGGGAUGUGGAGGAGAUAACUUAUGUUCGGAUGAAUUACUUUCACGGCACAGUUACCAGGGACGAAGUGGGAAAAACUCAUUUUUAAGUUAUCCUCAACUUAAUCAGGCUAUAUUUGAAAGUCUAUCAACUGAAGCUUGUGCCAUGCCUGUUACAAGAAAAUUUGUUGAUGAAGCCUUCCCAAAAAUUUUGAAGAGAGCAGCUGAUAGAUAUAUCAAGAAAAUGAAAGCUGCGCCAAGCUUCACACCUUUCAACGCCGAAAAUACAACAGUUGGACGGAACAAUGAGACUUUGUUAAAAAUAACUAUUUCACUAUGAUACUUAAAUUUGUUGUCCUGGUGUUAC